CAGAGAAGGUGAGACAGCCCGCUUGUAACACACAAAUAAUAUAGAAAUGCCAAAAAUUAUGUUUCACCAUUGUUCUGCCUGUCAAAAACUUCCUAC
This is a long non-coding RNA of Empidonax traillii (willow flycatcher), 96 nucleotides long. RefSeq lists it as uncharacterized. The transcript has 3 exons. The record is from RefSeq and is a predicted model, not a curated record. NCBI's taxonomy places the organism in Eukaryota, Metazoa, Chordata, Aves, Passeriformes, Tyrannidae.